GAAUGCUGACAUAAGUAACGAUAAAGCGGGUGAAAAGCCCGCUCGCCGGAAGACCAAGGGUUCCUGUCCAACGUUAAUCGGGGCAGGGUGAGUCGACCCCUAAGGCGAGGCCGAAAGGCGUAGUCGAUGGGAAACAGGUUAAUAUUCCUGUACUUGGUGUUACUGCGAAGGGGGGACGGAGAAGGCUAUGUUGGCCGGGCGACGGUUGUCC
This 211-nucleotide ribosomal RNA is filed under the name Escherichia coli. RNAcentral's name for it is "partial 23S ribosomal RNA". It matches the Rfam family "Bacterial large subunit ribosomal RNA", at positions 1292 to 1507 of the family's 2925-position model. The record is from RNAcentral. Lineage: Bacteria; Pseudomonadati; Pseudomonadota; Gammaproteobacteria; Enterobacterales; Enterobacteriaceae.